UAGGGAAUCUUCCGCAAUGGACGAAAGUCUGACGGAGCAACGCCGCGUGAGCGAAGAAGGCCUUCGGGUCGUAAAGCUCUGUUGUUAGGGAAGAACAAGUACCAGAGUAACUGCUGGUACCUUGACGGUACCUAACCAGAAAGCCACGGCUAACUACGUGCCAGCAGCCGCGGUAAUACGUAGGUGGCAAGCGUUGUCCGGAAUUAUUGGGCGUAAAGCGCGCGCAGGUGGUUUCUUAAGUCUGAUGUGAAAGCCCACGGCUCAACCGUGGAGGGUCAUUGGAAACUGGGGAACUUGAGUGCAGAAGAGGAAAGUGGAAUUCCACGUGUAGCGGUGAAAUGCGUAGAGAUGUGGAGGAACACCAGUGGCGAAGGCGACUCUCUGGUCUGUAACUGACGCUGAGGCGCGAAAGCGUGGGGAGCAAACAGGAUUAGAUACCCUGGUAGUCCACGCCGUAAACGAUGAGUGCUAAGUGUUAGAGGGUUUCCGCCCUUUAGUGCUGCAG
This 505-nucleotide ribosomal RNA is filed under the name uncultured Bacillota bacterium. Its description in RNAcentral is "bacterial SSU rRNA". It matches the Rfam family "Bacterial small subunit ribosomal RNA", at positions 355 to 851 of the family's 1533-position model. The record is from RNAcentral. Lineage: Bacteria; Bacillati; Bacillota.